RNAcentral lists this long non-coding RNA (1444 nucleotides) under Chloebia gouldiae (Gouldian finch). Its description in RNAcentral is "Erythrura gouldiae (Gouldian finch) lncRNA (ENSEGOG00005010992.1)". The record is from RNAcentral. Lineage: Eukaryota; Metazoa; Chordata; Aves; Passeriformes; Passeridae.
CGGGAUCGGCUUUCCUGGGAAUGUGGGAGUCUGGAAUUCCCAUGGAAUUCCCAUGAACCGCUCAUGGAUAGAACCCCUUGGAAUUCCCACUUUUUCCUUGGAUUCUUUGGGAAUUUUCCUCUCCCAGCUCAUGGAAUUCAUUGAUAAAACCUCUGGGAAUUCCCGUCUGGAAUUCCGACCCUUUGCGGUUAAUUCCUGAAAAUCCCUCGGGAAAAGCUCUGGAAUUCCAAAGCCUCCUGGUUAAUCCCAGAAAACUUUUCAGGAGAAGCUCUGGAAUUCCGACCCCUCCCGGACAGGGAAUUCCGGCUUCUUUUCCUGGCGGGGUUUUCCCUCCCUGUGGGCCGGGAAUUCCGGACUUUUCAUGGACUUUUCUUGGACUUUUCCCAGACUUUUCCCGGCCUUUUCCCGACCUUUUCCCAGCCUUUUCCUGAACUUUUCCCGGCCUUUUCCUGACCUUUUCCCGGACUUUUCCCAGCAUUUUCCCGACCUUUUCCCAGACUUUUCUCGGCCUUUUCCUUGAUUUUUCCCAGACUUUUCCUGGCCUUUUCCCAGACUUUUCCCGACCUUUUCCCGGCCUUUUCCCAGCCUUUUCCCAGCCUUUUCCCGACCUUUUCCCGGCCUUUUCCGGACUUUUCCGGGCUCUAUUCCCAGGUACUUCCAGAGCAUUUACGACACGGCCGAGGGCCUCGGGCUGAGCUACCCCGAGGGGCUGAGCCCGGAGCAGCGCCUGGAGUUCGUCACCGACACCGCCCAGGCCCUGUCCCAGGUGGCCACGCUGGUGGCCCGGGCGCUGUUCUCGCUGGCCGGGGGAGCCGCCGGCGCCGCCGAGAGCAUCCGGGCGGAUCCCAAAACGGUGGGAAUCCAUCCCGGAACGCCGGGAAUGCCGGGAGUCCACACCUGGCCUGGCGUCCCUGGAAUUCCCCAGUUUUCCCGAAAACCCUGGAAUUAGGAUCCCCGGUUUUGUUGAGAUCCCUGGAAUUGGAAUCGCCAGUUUUCCUAAAAUCCUGGAGUUUGGAAUCUCCGAUAUUCCUGAAAUCCCUGGAAUUAGGAUCCCAAAUUUUCCUGAAAUCCCUGGAAUUGGAAUCUCCAAUUUUCCUGAAAUCCUUGGAAUCGGAAUCCCAAUUUUUCCUGAAAUCCCUGGAAUUAGAAUCGCCAGUUUUCCUGAAACCCCUGGAAUUAGGAUUCCCAGUGUUGUUGAGAUUCCUGGAAUUGGGAUCCCCAGUUUUCCUGAAAUCCUGGACUUUGGAAGCUCCAAUAUUCCUGAAAUCCCUGGAAUUAGGAUCCUCAAUUUUCCUGGGAUCCCUGGAAUUAGAAUCGCCAAUUUUCCUGGAAUCCUUGGAAUCAGAAUCCCCAAUUUUCCUGCUCUCCCCGAUUUUCCUGGAAUUCCCGAUUUUCCUGGGAUCCCCCAUCCCGCCGCCUCCCCGGAAUUCCAGCUCCUUUCCUG